RNAcentral lists this ribosomal RNA (460 nucleotides) under uncultured bacterium. Its description in RNAcentral is "partial 16S ribosomal RNA". It matches the Rfam family "Bacterial small subunit ribosomal RNA", at positions 338 to 795 of the family's 1533-position model. The record is from RNAcentral.
CCUACGGGAGACAGCAGUGAGGAAUAUUGGUCAAUGGACGAGAGUCUGAACCAGCCAAGUAGCGUGAAGGAUGACUGCCCUAUGGGUUGUAAACUUCUUUUAUAUGGGAAUAAAAUGUUCCACGUGUGGGAUUUUGUAUGUACCAUAUGAAUAAGGAUCGGCUAACUCCGUGCCAGCAGCCGCGGUAAUACGGAGGAUCCGAGCGUUAUCCGGAUUUAUUGGGUUUAAAGGGUGCGUAGGUGGAUUGUUAAGUCAGUUGUGAAAGUUUGCGGCUCAACCGUAAAAUUGCAGUUGAAACUGGCAGUCUUGAGUACAGUAGAGGUGGGCGGAAUGCGUGGUGUAGCGGUGAAAUGCUUAGAUAUCACGAAGAACUCCGAUUGCGAAGGCAGUUCACUGGACUGCAACUGACACUGAGGCUCGAAAGUGUGGGUAUCAAACAGGAUUAGAUACCCUAGUAGUC